Molecule: long non-coding RNA, 324 nt
Organism: Chelmon rostratus (copperband butterflyfish)
Lineage: Eukaryota; Metazoa; Chordata; Actinopteri; Chaetodontiformes; Chaetodontidae
Exons: 3
Source: RefSeq, a predicted model, not a curated record
CUGACAGCAUGAUCUGAAAAAACGAACCCUGGAGGUGAUCUAUGACAGCGGAGACACUGACUGCUCUCUGAGGAUGCAUGUGCAUAUUCAUUGAUGCUCGUUGUGGCCAAAGUUUGCAGCACAUUCAGAGGAGCUGAUUGAUGUUUUUCCAGUGUUACCUUCCAGAUCACUUCCAGAUGUUCUGCAGCUCUGUUCCCUUCAGUCUGACCCUGAAGAAGCAGUGAGGAUGGAGGUUUCUCUUCAUCUUCUUCGUUUUUCACAGGGACAGGAGUGAAUAUGAACUUGGUGAUAUCAGCCUCCUCCAGUCUUUGAAGCUGCUCUCCC